GUGCGUUCCAUACUAUAGGUGCGGAUCAUUUUUGCACAAUGAUGCUGUUCUCCGAGGAAACAAAGCUGGGCUCCCUGCCACCUUCCCUGACCACACCCUCCCUCCUAGGACCCUCCUGGUGGGAGAGUCUGGGACCCCCAGCCCACCCAACCUGACCUAAAGCAGCUUUCUGGAUCCCAAACAAACUUCCUCCUCCCUCUGCCUCAGAGGCCCAGAGUUCUGGUUCCCAUGACAAGAGGCAGGAAGUUGAGGACCUGGUGAGAGAUGAGGGGACCCACCCAAAGUCCUGCCAGUCCAGCAACUUCCUGUCCCGAGGCUCCCCUCGACCAGAGCCCUCCCUCUAGACCUGUGGUUCUCACCAGGGGACAAUUUGUCAGUCUUGAGAUGGUUUUGGUUGUAGUGUUGAAGGGCAGGGGCUACUGGCUUCUCAUGGGUAGAAGGCUGGGAUGCUGCUAAACAUGCUGAGGUGCUCAGGACAGGCCCCCACAACAAAGAACCAUCCAGCCCAAAUGUCUAUAGAGCUGAGAAUGAGAAACGCGACUUUACACAGGGGUGUCGGGGUGCCCCUGCCCACAGAAGCCAGGAGGAGGCGAGAUGCUCCGGCAGGGCUCCCAGGAAGGGCUCCAAUGAUAAGAGGAAUCCUGAUAAUAGCCAUAGUCAGAGUCCAUGGGCCCAUGGCACUGAUGAGGCCCAGAGGGGCAGUGACCAGCCCAAGGUCCCCCAAGGGGCAGGGCAUGGCCAAGCCUGGGGCCCACCUUUCCGGCCUCCUAGGUCCAGCCUGUUGUGUGCCCUCCGGGACAGAGUCCCAGGAGACCUCUGAGUCCUCUCUGAUGGGCAGCACCUGCCUGAGUUUGAGGGACUCCCUCCUGCCCGCUCCCAGCAUCCCCCACUCCAGCGGCUAGGGGAAUUUUUCUUCUUUGGAACUUACACUGUGUCCAGACGUUUCAGACACCGUGGGCCACUGGGGCCCAAGUGAGCGUCUGUCAGGAACAGCCCUGAGCCCACCCUCUCCUGGCCUCACUCAGGGUGUUUUGGCAACUUAUUCAAAACACAAAACACGAAAGCCGGUCUGUCUCCAGGACACUGUUUCUGCCCCACUGCGGCUCACUUAUGUUUGUUUAUAGACCAAAUGGGCCUGCGUUUGCUGUUGGUUUAACCCUGCCCCCACUCCCAACUCCUCCCACCCCCACCCUCGGGCCCAUGCUCUGUCGACACUUGGACCCCCGAGAUCCCUCUGCCCAGCCUCCUGAGCCCGGUGUACAGCCCAUAGCCCACACAGUGCCCAGCUGGAGUUUGGCAGCAUCUGCUGGAGGUAAGGACCGGUCCUCCAAGGGUAACAUUCCCUCCCAUCAGUUCCUGUUGGGGUUGGAGCACAGGCCUGAGGGAGCCUAACCGUCAGCCUUGGAAUCCAGCUGUUCCUCCUCCUGCCCUGUGACCCCAGGGGGUCUGAGCAGGGAUGAAGACCACCUCCCCUCCUGGCCGGAUCCAAAGCCAGCCUCCCCCAGUCAACCCCCGGGGUGGGUCCCAUGCUGAUUGGACCAGAUAAGGUAGGGGACAGUUUUGGGGGCAGAGGCUGUCCUAUUCCUUCUCCCACCAUGGGCCCCACUCUGGGGAAGAAUCAUAUUGCUCUUUGCUGUAAACAGACAGUUCUUGAAACGGGGGGCGGGGUGUGACAAAGCCUGGCCCUGUGUGUGGUCCACAGAGAGAUGGCGGGCCUCGCUGCCCAAUGCCAGGAACUGUUUGUGCUCUGCAGGCCAGCCUCUCUCCCCGCCCAGCCCCACCUUCCCACGGCCACAUCCACAGCCCCCAGGAGGUGUGCGAGACACCUCCAGGCAGAGGGUGGGGGCCCCUCGGGUCCUGAGGCUGAGGAGGCUGGCCUUCCGCUUCAGGCUGCCAUGUUCUCCAUUUUUUUCUUCAUUUGUCCCUAUGUAUCUGAAACGCACACAUUUCACUGCAAGUUCAGUCUCCUGCCACAGUCCUCAUGGAAAUACAAGAAUUUCUAGACAACAAGAUUUCUAGAUACAAGAUUUCUACCUGGAUACCAUAACUUUGUUCCAUCGCUUCCUGGGACACGUUACUGGGCCCCUUCCAUCAACUUUACCGAGGGGUGCUGUACCUGAUUUCUCUUUCCCAGUUCCUGGCUUCUUCUCCAUCCCCCUCCUGCCCCACCCCAGCCCCCAGCCCAGUGGUCCCAUGGCCUCUCCUUUAUUCCUCACCUCUGCCCUGUGGUCCUGUUUUCUCCCCCGAAGCUGGCCCUGCAGGAGACUUCCUGUUCCCAGGGUCUGGCACAGGCUGACCGUCGCCAGGGGCAGGGGGAGGCCCAGUCUAUGGACCAUUCCUGGGACCUUGACAUCACAACAAGCAAUCUGUGGGCCCUGGUUUUUAAAUGAUCUGUAAUUAAUGCUGUUUUUGUUAUUUAGCACUUUCUCAUCAAAGGGCUCAUUUAGGCCUUGCAAAACCUGACAGAUAAGGCCAAAUUUAAGGCUUCUCUUGGGAGUGGCUCCACCUGGGAGGAGUGCAAAGCUCCAGACUCCUCUGUCCACCUUGGGCUCCUGUGUCAAGUGUGAACUAAUUGCUAUGAAGGAUGGGCAACAGGAAGGGGAGAAGUUCCAUCUUCCGUUUCAGACCUGAGAGGCCUGAAGGCGUUGCCCAUGGCUGUCUCAAAGGUAAGGCUGGCAGCUCCUCCAAAUGGGACAUCCCCAAGCAAGGCCCUGUCUCCCCAUCUCUCCAGACUCCUUACACUGCUCACUCCAGAGAAUUAUACGGGAGCCCCUCAGAGGCUGCUUUUUCUAACUGACUGACUAGCAGAGCAACGAAGGACUCAUUGCCUCCUGUCUCUUUCUCUCAGAUGAGUUCCUUUAUUCGGUUCUGAGGAUGGCCUGACCAUGGGGCCCUGGGGCCCACUGGCUGGAGGAGAGUCAAUAAUGUACCGACAGCACAGCCACAGAUCUGGCCAGACACCCCCUCUCUGAAGAGGCAACUCCCCUGUGCCUGGAGGCGAGCGUGGGUGUGGGAGGCGAGGGCUCAUGCAAUGGCAGGUGCUGAGCCUGCAGCUGAGGACGAGGGCAGAGGGGACUCCGCCCUGUCUCCUCUCCUGAUCUGGUUGGCAGCCGCCAGAAUUUUCGUCUCUGCUUGACCCCAGCCCUUCUUUCUUCCCUCCCCUCUGUGAGUCCUGGAGCUUGGAGAGCCCAGGGCUGGAAGGAGGCAUUGGUACAGGACCGUCUCCUUCCCAACCUGCUGUCUCGGGCUGUUCCCUCUGAUCUCAUCCUCCUUCUGUCCAGCUCAGUACCUCUGAAGCUGGCCGUCCUCCAAGUCUAACCUCAGAUCUCGCCUCCUCCAGGAAGACUUCCCUGAAUCUUGGCGUGGUGCUACCUCCCUUCCCAGAAUUCCUGGGGCAAAUAAAGUUUGUACCAGAAAGCUGCCACAUGCCACGUCCUCCGGUUGUGUGUGGACAUCAUUGAGACCGAUCACAAAAGCUCUGGCUCUCUCUCCUUCUGGACACUUGGAAGAGGUGUACAUCCCCGCCCACCUGAAUUCAGGCGGGGCCACGUGACUGGCCAUGUGAGUGGAAAUGGCAGGAUCUGAGGCCCCGCAGCGGCGUGAGUCACAGGUGAUGAGUCACCGCAUUGUUUGUGCUGAUGGCCCGGGCAGGAAGCAGUCAGGCUGCAGGAGAAGUUGACUUUUCUCGUCUCGCUCCGGGGUUGGUGAAAAGAGCCAGGUUUAACCUUGGUGUCUCCUGCCUCUGUGGAAGCCUGAAUCCCCUCGGCUUAUGGGGUGGAGAGCAGCUGGUCUCCUUCAGAUGUGUCCCCUGACCCUAUCCUGGGGAAACUGAGGCAGGAGGCAUCUGUUCUCUGUGGGAGCAUCCUGGAGAACACGAACCCUGCAAGCAGCAGGGCUUGCUUCUGGCUGGGUUAUGAUGUUUGGCUACCAGUUACUAACGCCCCCUGGGGCUGGCUUCAGGGAGCUCAGCUUAAGGAAUCGAGGGUGUCUUAAACGCAGGACGAGAGCCUUUGAAAUCUCCCCAACACUUUCUAAACAAAUAGAUACGUUUUUACCAAUGUGAAAUCAAACUGUACAUCCUGUCUUUUGUAACCUGUUAUUUUCAUUCAACAGUAUGUUACCAACAUUUUUUUCAUGUUAAUAAACCUAGAUCUAAAGCUUCAUUAGUUGCUGGCAGUGUUUCCACUGUAAGAAUGUCAGAGUUAGAUACACGUGCCCUGUUGUUGGACAUUUACUUAUUUGUCGUUUUUACAUUGAACAGAACACUACACAUGAAUACCGCUGUCCACGCGUCUUGACCUAUGCUCUCCCUCGGAUGAGUUCCUCACAGUGGCAUUGCUCAGCUAAAGGGGAGGCACUGGGGUUUUUAAGAUUUUUUGAUGCCUAGCACCUAACUGCUCCCCA
This 4404-nucleotide long non-coding RNA is filed under the name Equus caballus (horse). RNAcentral describes it as "lncRNA (ENSECAG00000051246.1)". Lineage: Eukaryota; Metazoa; Chordata; Mammalia; Perissodactyla; Equidae. The record is from RNAcentral.